CAGUCGCCGCGGUAAUACGGAGGGUGCGAGCGUUAAUCGGAAUUACUGGGCGUAAAGCGUACGCAGGCGGUUUGUUAAGUCAGAUGUGAAAUCCCCGAGCUUAACUCGGGAACUGCAUUUGAAACUGGCAGGCUAGAGUCUCGUAGAGGGGGGUAGAAUUCCAGGUGUAGCGGUGAAAUGCGUAGAGAUCUGGAGGAAUACCGGUGGCGAAGGCGGCCCCCUGGACGAAGACUGACGCUCAGGUACGAAAGCGUGGGGAGCAAACAGGAUUAGAUACCCCGGUAGUCCCUGUCUCUUAUAC
RNAcentral lists this ribosomal RNA (301 nucleotides) under uncultured bacterium. RNAcentral's name for it is "partial 16S ribosomal RNA". It matches the Rfam family "Bacterial small subunit ribosomal RNA", at positions 509 to 807 of the family's 1533-position model. The record is from RNAcentral.